RNAcentral lists this ribosomal RNA (610 nucleotides) under uncultured Legionella sp. RNAcentral describes it as "bacterial SSU rRNA". It matches the Rfam family "Bacterial small subunit ribosomal RNA", at positions 224 to 826 of the family's 1533-position model. Lineage: Bacteria; Pseudomonadati; Pseudomonadota; Gammaproteobacteria; Legionellales; Legionellaceae. The record is from RNAcentral.
GAUUAGCCUGCGUCCGAUUAGCUAGUUGGUAGGGUAAAGGCCUACCAAGGCGACGAUCGGUAGCUGGUCUGAGAGGAUGGACAGCCACACUGGGACUGAGAAACGGCCCAGACUCCUACGGGAGGCAGCAGUGGGGAAUAUUGGACAAUGGGGGCAACCCUGAUCCAGCGAUGCCGCGUGUGUGAAGAAGGCCUGAGGGUUGUAAAGCACUUUCAGUGGGGAGGAGAGGUUAUAGGUUAAGAGCUGAUGACUGAGACGUUACCCACAGAAGAAGCACCGGCUAACUCCGUGCCAGCAGCCGCGGUAAUACGGAGGGUGCGAGCGUUAAUCGGAAUUAUUGGGCGUAAAGGGUGCGUAGGUGGUUAGAUAAGUUAUCUGUGAAAACCCAGGGCUUAACCUUGGGGAGAGAGAUAAAACUGUUUGACUGGAGUAUAGGAGAGGGUAGUGGAAUUUCCGGUGUAGCGGUGAAAUGCGUAGAGAUCGGAAGGAACACCGGUGGCGAAGGCGGCUACCUGGCCUGAUACUGACACUGAGGCACGAAAGCGUGGGGAGCAAACAGGAUUAGAUACCCUGGUAGUCCACGCUGUAAACGAUGUCAACUAGCUGUUGG